UGAAUCUGUUGUGUUGUGUACA
RNAcentral lists this unclassified non-coding RNA (22 nucleotides) under Mus musculus (house mouse). RNAcentral describes it as "oocyte_clustered_small_RNA11814". The record is from RNAcentral. Lineage: Eukaryota; Metazoa; Chordata; Mammalia; Rodentia; Muridae.